ACUUCUGAAGGAUAAUAGCUAAUCCGUUGGUCUUAGGAACCAAAAACCCUUGGUGCAAGUCCAAGCAGUAGUU
This 73-nucleotide transfer RNA is filed under the name Hippocampus kelloggi (great seahorse). RNAcentral's name for it is "tRNA-Leu". It matches the Rfam family "tRNA". From Rfam's summary of the family: Transfer RNA (tRNA) molecules are approximately 80 nucleotides in length. Lineage: Eukaryota; Metazoa; Chordata; Actinopteri; Syngnathiformes; Syngnathidae. The record is from RNAcentral.